GCGCUCUUAGCUCAGUUGGUUAGAGCGUUCGCUUCACACGCGAAAGGCCAUAGGUUCGAAUCCUAUAGAGCGCACCA
This 77-nucleotide transfer RNA is filed under the name Candidatus Kaiserbacteria bacterium. RNAcentral's name for it is "tRNA-Val". It matches the Rfam family "tRNA". Rfam says of the family: Transfer RNA (tRNA) molecules are approximately 80 nucleotides in length. Their secondary structure includes four short double-helical elements and three loops (D, anti-codon, and T loops). Lineage: Bacteria; Candidatus Kaiseribacteriota. The record is from RNAcentral.